UGAAAGAAAGAUGCGAUUAGU
This 21-nucleotide non-coding RNA is filed under the name Caenorhabditis elegans. Lineage: Eukaryota; Metazoa; Nematoda; Chromadorea; Rhabditida; Rhabditidae. The record is from RNAcentral.